Molecule: unclassified non-coding RNA, 146 nt
Filed under: uncultured Colletotrichum
Lineage: Eukaryota; Fungi; Ascomycota; Sordariomycetes; Glomerellales; Plectosphaerellaceae
Description: partial internal transcribed spacer 2
Source: RNAcentral
CAACCCUCAAGCCCUGCUUGGUGUUGGGGCACUAUUUUCGUAUAGGCCCUGUAACGUAGUGGCGGAUCUGCUGUUAUCCUGAGCGUAGUAAUACACGUCGCUUUGGGCUCUCAGUGGGCUCCUGCCGUUAAACCCCCACUUUAUAA